GGGUUAGUAGGUUGGUCAUGCCUCUGGCAUGUACUGGUCUCACUGAUUCCUCCUUCCUAAUGAACCUUAAUGCCAUUAAUUCGGUGUUUUGGGGAAUUUGGACUGUUACUUUGAAAAAAUUAGAGUGUUUAGAGCAAGCCAACGCUUGAAUACAUUAGCAUGGAAUAAUGAAAUAGGACGUUCGAUCCUAUUUUGUUGGUUUCUAGGAUUGACGUA
Molecule: ribosomal RNA, 216 nt
Filed under: Campeiostachys nutans
Lineage: Eukaryota; Viridiplantae; Streptophyta; Magnoliopsida; Poales; Poaceae
Description: Elymus nutans partial small subunit ribosomal RNA
Rfam family: Eukaryotic small subunit ribosomal RNA (bases 40-216)
Source: RNAcentral